This 254-nucleotide ribosomal RNA is filed under the name uncultured bacterium. Its description in RNAcentral is "partial 16S ribosomal RNA". It matches the Rfam family "Bacterial small subunit ribosomal RNA", at positions 524 to 776 of the family's 1533-position model. The record is from RNAcentral.
GACGAACCGUGCAAACGUUAUUCGGAAUCACUGGGCUUAAAGCGCGUGUAGGCGGAUGGGAACGUCGGACGUUGAAAGCCCCCGGCUCAACCGGGGAAGGGGCGCCGAAACGACCCGUCUGGAGGAACGUAGGGGGACCUGGAACUUCCGGUGGAGCGGUGAAAUGCGUUGAGAUCGGAAGGAACGCCCGUGGCGAAAGCGAGGUCCUGGACGUUAUCUGACGCUGAGACGCGAAAGCUAGGGGAGCAAACGGG